CGGAUAGCUGGGCCAAUGGUUGGCCCAGCACCUCCAGGGUGCCGUGGUUGGCGGUCUGGAUCCCGGCCAGCAAGCCGA
RNAcentral lists this transfer RNA (78 nucleotides) under Aeromonas salmonicida. Its description in RNAcentral is "tRNA-Trp(cca)". Lineage: Bacteria; Pseudomonadati; Pseudomonadota; Gammaproteobacteria; Aeromonadales; Aeromonadaceae. RNAcentral also lists the same sequence under 1 other name. The record is from RNAcentral.